AUUGUGGCUCAGUUGGUAGAGCAGCUGAUUCGUAAUCAGCAGGUCGCCGGUUCGAGUCCGGCCAA
Molecule: transfer RNA, 65 nt
Filed under: Candidatus Heritagella caecorum
Lineage: Bacteria; Bacillati; Bacillota; Clostridia
Also listed under: 1 other name
Rfam family: tRNA
About the family: Transfer RNA (tRNA) molecules are approximately 80 nucleotides in length. Their secondary structure includes four short double-helical elements and three loops (D, anti-codon, and T loops). Further hydrogen bonds mediate the characteristic L-shaped molecular structure. tRNAs have two regions of fundamental functional importance: the anti-codon, which is responsible for specific mRNA codon recognition, and the 3' end, to which the tRNAs corresponding amino acid is attached (by aminoacyl-tRNA synthetases). tRNAs cope with the degeneracy of the genetic code in two manners: having more than one tRNA (with a specific anti-codon) for a particular amino acid; and 'wobble' base-pairing, i.e. permitting non-standard base-pairing at the 3rd anti-codon position.
Source: RNAcentral